Molecule: ribosomal RNA, 371 nt
Filed under: uncultured organism
Description: partial 16S ribosomal RNA
Rfam family: Bacterial small subunit ribosomal RNA
Source: RNAcentral
GUAGGUGGCAAGCGUUGUCCGGAAUUAUUGGGCGUAAAGCGCGCGCAGGCGGUUCUUUAAGUCUGAUGUGAAAGCCCACGGCUCAACCGUGGAGGGUCAUUGGAAACUGGAGAACUUGAGUACAGAAGAGGAAAGCGGAAUUCCACGUGUAACGGUGAAAUGCGUAGAGAUGUGGAGGAACACCAGUGGCGAAGGCGGCUUUCUGGUCUGUAACUGACGCUGAGGCGCGAGAGCGUGGGGGAGCAAACAGGAUUAGAUACCCUGGUAGUCCACGCCGUAAACGAUGAGUGCUAAGUGUUAGGGGGUUUCCGCCCCUUAGUGCUGCAGCUAACGCAUUAAGCACUCCGCCUGGGAGUACGGCCGCAAGGCUG